Long non-coding RNA from Artibeus jamaicensis (Jamaican fruit-eating bat), 705 nucleotides. RefSeq lists it as uncharacterized. The transcript has 3 exons. Lineage: Eukaryota; Metazoa; Chordata; Mammalia; Chiroptera; Phyllostomidae. The record is from RefSeq and is a predicted model, not a curated record.
GCCAUUGUCACUGUUGUGGCAGAGGCAGGUCUCUCCUGCAAACAAACCAACCCCAGGCACCUGCUGCCAGGUGGCUGCCCUGCACUGGGGGCUGUGCAAGCUUCUGUGGGCAGUGGCGGGAGACGGGAAAGGCAGAGAAAAAAGACAAAUACAUCCCAGAGGAUUCUGGAGAGACUCAAAUGGAGAGUGUCGGGCACGAAGCAGAGGAAGGGGAGGAGAGAUUCUGGGUCUAAUGGCUUCUCACUGGACUGCCUUUCAUUGAUUUUUUUCCACGGUGGAGAGGCUGGCUCUGUAAUGGACUGGCAAUCACAGUAACACGAUCCUGAUGCCCUCCAGAGACCGCUAGGUUCCAGAUGCCCAGAACUCUGGGUUUAAAUGGAGUUCUCUGCAUCCCUCAGUCCCAGCCCUCUGAAAAGUCUAGAGGCCUCACAAGGAAUAAGAGGCCUGCCGGCGGCCCCGAGACAGGAAGGAGCAGCUGCCCACUGACCGAUGCGUAUACAUCGUGCGGCCGUGCAGUUGCACGCACACCGCUACCUCGGGGAGCUCCUCCAACCCGGCUGCCACCACGUCAGCGCUCGGCUGCCCACGGAUUAGAUCCUGCCACAGUUCUGGCUUUAAACUCGCCUUUGUUUUAUGAAAUAAUGUUCUGAGUGAGGAGUUGGCAGGUUUUUCUCUAAUCCUUACUUGGCAAAAUAAAAAAUUAUC